RNAcentral lists this ribosomal RNA (245 nucleotides) under uncultured bacterium. RNAcentral's name for it is "partial 16S ribosomal RNA". It matches the Rfam family "Bacterial small subunit ribosomal RNA", at positions 91 to 334 of the family's 1533-position model. The record is from RNAcentral.
CCUAGUGGCGGACGGGUGAGUAACGCGUGAGUAACCUGCCUUUCAGAGGGGAAUAACGUUCUGAAAAGAACGCUAAUACCGCAUAACGUACAGUUACCGCAUGGUAGCAGUACCAAAGGAGCAAUCCGCUGAAAGAUGGACUCGCGUCCGAUUAGCUAGUUGGUGGGGUAAAGGCCUACCAAGGCGACGAUCGGUAGCCGGACUGGGAGGUUGAACGGCCACAUUGGGACUGAGACACGGCCCAG